This is a long non-coding RNA of Hipposideros armiger (great roundleaf bat), 471 nucleotides long. RefSeq lists it as uncharacterized. NCBI's taxonomy places the organism in Eukaryota, Metazoa, Chordata, Mammalia, Chiroptera, Hipposideridae. The transcript is spliced from 2 exons. The record is from RefSeq and is a predicted model, not a curated record.
CACAACAACCCAAACUAUCCAAAGUGGCCUGAGAGAAAGCAUUCUCAGAGUGACACAAGACUGUGUCUGGCAUGCUUCUUUCUCCAACUCAGGAACUGGACGUGACUGGCUGAGAGAGCUACAUUCACUUAUCUAAGGAGUAUUUAUCACUCUGGUAAUCAACUAGGAAGAUACAAAAAGAAAUAUGGAAGAUACAAAAAGAAAUAUGGCAAGCUUCCCGUCAGUCUGCCUUCCAGUAAACAUACACGCGAAAACGUCUGUGAGGCACUGUGGAACAUACUAAAAUUGUGAGGUCCUUAAGGGAACGGCUGUGUCUUAUGAAUUCCUUUUUAUAUCCCUUAUCCUUUGUACAUUACAGGUGCUCUAUACAUAUUUAAUGCAUAACUGAAUGAAAGACUAAGUAAGAUAUAGCCCUUAUCCUCAAGAAAAGUAUAUUCUAGUUAGGAGACUAAGCUAUGCCCAUAUGAGAAA